AUUGUAAUGGUGAAGCUAAUCACAAAAUAAUUUCAUUAUUUAGUUGCCCAAUGUGGCUUACAAUA
RNAcentral lists this transfer RNA (65 nucleotides) under Batillipes longispinosus. RNAcentral describes it as "tRNA-Glu". Lineage: Eukaryota; Metazoa; Tardigrada; Heterotardigrada; Arthrotardigrada; Batillipedidae. The record is from RNAcentral.